Molecule: long non-coding RNA, 1001 nt
Organism: Culex pipiens pallens (northern house mosquito)
Lineage: Eukaryota; Metazoa; Arthropoda; Insecta; Diptera; Culicidae
Exons: 2
Source: RefSeq, a predicted model, not a curated record
GUAGUGUAUCGUCACAAACUGGACCUUAUCACGACACCUUAGGGAGGCGACCUAUGGAAUGUUAACAUUAACCUUAACAUGUUAACAUUAAUGGUACGUUCGUUUGAGGGCUAGUUCCGCACUGAGUGCCGCACUCAGAGCUGUCAAAGUGUUUGUUUGAAGAAACUAGCGCUGGUGCCGCACGAGUUUUGCCUCCAUCUUGGAACUGAAAGUGCGAGUGCCGCACUCGAUUUUAUUCUAGUUUCGUGCGAGUUUCUCGCACACCAACAAACGAUGUUUGUAAACAUCGAAAUCAGCUGUUCGUUGUUUUCGAUUUGUUCGCGUGUGAAUGGUGGAAAAUUGGACAAAUUGGAUUGCGGUUAUCAAAAUUCCGAUGCUUUGAUGUCUCCCGAUAACGACCAAGCAAGCAGCAGCGAUUAAUGCGGGAGCAAAGGCCGCGCCUUCAUCAAAUGUCUGCUCCAGGUGGAGCAAAGGCGCGCAUCUGCGGAGUCCUCAUCCUCAUCAGCUAGGUCGACGAAGCCGCGGAAGAGAACUUUGCGCAUGCCUUCAUCAACAACGCGCGGAUAGGCGACUACGUACCAAGCGGAUCGCGCGGGCUGCUGGAGCACACUCUCACCAUAGAUCACUGCAUCGGAGACAUGUGAUACAUGUUUAGGUGAGUCCCAUUUGUUUACUUCGCUGGUAGGAUUUUUGAAGUUUCUUUCGGAAUUCCAGAUUCUUCGAAAAAAAAAACGCAAACGUCUGCUCGAGGCCAAGGACCAGAUGGCCGAAAAGAAGGCUGCCGCCCGUGACGGGUUUGACGGGUUUGAUUUGUACCUGGGUAUGAAUGAUCACGAUAUCCUCCGCAACUUGCAGCGCAAGCUCAAAUCGGUUAUUCAACCGUCGCAAGCAGUACCCUUUGAAACUGGUGCUGUCCCCGAUUCGUGAGUUGGACAAGCAAAUCUUUAAAUAGUCAAAGAAACGUCUUGUAUGCGCGAAAAGGUGGACCUGUACAACAUUCG